CGGAAGAGAUAAGUGCUGAAAGCAUCUAAGCACGAAACUUGCCCCGAGAUGAGUUCUCCCUGAGACUUAGAGUCUCCUGAAGGAACGUUGAAGACGACGACGUUGAUAGGCCGGGUGUGUAAGCGCAGCGAUGCGUUGAGCUAACCGGUACUAAUGAACCGUGAGGCUUAACCUUACAACGCCGAAG
This 187-nucleotide ribosomal RNA is filed under the name Escherichia coli. RNAcentral describes it as "partial 23S ribosomal RNA". It matches the Rfam family "Bacterial large subunit ribosomal RNA", at positions 2756 to 2925 of the family's 2925-position model. Lineage: Bacteria; Pseudomonadati; Pseudomonadota; Gammaproteobacteria; Enterobacterales; Enterobacteriaceae. The record is from RNAcentral. RNAcentral also lists the same sequence under 7 other names.